UGGGGAAUAUUGCACAAUGGAGGGAACCCUGAUGCAGCGACGCCGCGUGAACGAAGAAGGCUUUCGAGUCGUAAAGUUCUUUUAUAUGGGAAGAAAAUGACGGUACCAUAAGAAAAAGCCCCGGCUAACUACGUGCCAGCAGCCGCGGUAAUACGUAGGGGGCUAGCGUUGUCCGGAAUCACUGGGCGUAAAGGGUUCGCAGGCGGAAAUGCAAGUCAGGUGUAAAAGGCAGUAGCUUAACUACUGUAAGCAUUUGAAACUGCAUAUCUUGAGAAGAGUAGAGGUAAGUGGAAUUUUUGGUGUAGCGGGGAAAUGCGUAGAUAUUAAAAAGAAUACCGGUGGCGAAGGCGACUUACUGGGCUCAUUCUGACGCUGAGGAACGAAAGCGUGGGUAGCAAACAGG
Molecule: ribosomal RNA, 403 nt
Filed under: Fusobacteriota bacterium
Lineage: Bacteria; Fusobacteriati; Fusobacteriota
Description: Fusobacteria bacterium partial 16S ribosomal RNA
Rfam family: Bacterial small subunit ribosomal RNA
Source: RNAcentral